AGAGUUUGAUUCUGGCUCAGGAUGAACGCUGGCGGCGUGCCUAAUACAUGCAAGUCGAACGAGAGUGCUUGCACUCGAGUGGCGAACGGGUGAGUAACACGUGGGUAACCCACCUAUAAGACGAGGAUAACUUCUGGAAACGGAUGCUAAUACUGGAUAAGAUGUAUUACCACAUGGUGAUAUAUUUAAAGGUUCUUAACGGGAUCACUUAUAGAGGGGCUUGCGGAGCAUUAGCUAGUUGGUGAGAUAACAGCCCACCAAGGCGAAGAUGCUUAGCCGGACUGAGAGGUUGAACGGCCACAUUGGGACUGAGACACGGUCCAAACUCCUACGGGAGGCAGCAGUAAGGAGUUUUCGGCAAUGGGGGAAACCCUGACCGAGCAACGCCGCGUGAGUGAUGAACCGGCCCUAUGGGUUGUAAAGCUCUGUUAUAAGGGACGAACAGCUUUGCUAGGAAAUGAGCAGAGUCUGACGGUACUUUAUCAGAAAGCCACGGCUAACUACGUGCCAGCCGCUGC
RNAcentral lists this ribosomal RNA (518 nucleotides) under uncultured bacterium. Its description in RNAcentral is "bacterial SSU rRNA". It matches the Rfam family "Bacterial small subunit ribosomal RNA", at positions 8 to 518 of the family's 1533-position model. The record is from RNAcentral.